AUACUUAUCUGGCAGGGGAGAUACCAUGAUCACAAAGGUGGUUUUCCCAGGGCAAGGCUCAUCCAUUGCACUCCAAAUGUGUUGACCCCCGCAAUUUCCUCAAAUGUAGGAAACUCAAUUGCAUAAUGUGUGGCAGUGGGAGACUGCGUUCAUGCUUUCCCUUG
Pongo abelii (Sumatran orangutan) is the source of this 164-nucleotide small nuclear RNA. Its record names the gene U1. It matches the Rfam family "U1 spliceosomal RNA". From Rfam's summary of the family: U1 is a small nuclear RNA (snRNA) component of the spliceosome (involved in pre-mRNA splicing). Its 5' end forms complementary base pairs with the 5' splice junction, thus defining the 5' donor site of an intron. NCBI's taxonomy places the organism in Eukaryota, Metazoa, Chordata, Mammalia, Primates, Hominidae. The record is from Ensembl.